AACGAACGCUGGCGGCAUGCCUAACACAUGCAAGUCGAACGAGACCUUCGUGUCUAGUGGCGCACGGGUGCGUAACGCGUGGGAACCUGCCCUUAGGUUCGGAAUAACUCCCCGUAAGGGGUGCUAAUACCGGAUAAUGUCUUCGGACCAAAGAUUUAUCGCCUUUGGAUGGGCCCGCGUUGGUUUAGCUAGUUGGUAGGGUAAAAGCCUACCAAGGCGACGAUCCAUAGCUGGUCUGAGAGGAUGAUCAGCCACACUGGGACUGAGACACGGCCCAGACUCCUACGGGAGGCAGCAGUGGGGAAUAUUGGACAAUGGGCGAAAGCCUGAUCCAGCAAUGCCGCGUGAGUGAUGAAGGCCUUAGGGUUGUAAAGCUCUUUUACCCGGGAUGAUAAUGACAGUACCGGGAGAAUAAGCUCCGGCUAACUCCGUG
Molecule: ribosomal RNA, 433 nt
Filed under: uncultured bacterium
Lineage: Bacteria
Description: partial 16S ribosomal RNA
Rfam family: Bacterial small subunit ribosomal RNA
Source: RNAcentral